This 395-nucleotide ribosomal RNA is filed under the name uncultured bacterium. Its description in RNAcentral is "partial 16S ribosomal RNA". It matches the Rfam family "Bacterial small subunit ribosomal RNA", at positions 338 to 730 of the family's 1533-position model. The record is from RNAcentral.
CCUACGGGAGGCAGCAGUGAGGAAUAUUGGUCAAUGGGCGCGAGCCUGAACCAGCCAAGUAGCGUGAAGGAUGACGGCCCUAUGGGUUGUAAACUUCUUUUAUCAAGGAGCAAAGUACGCCACGCGUGCCUUUCCGAAUGUACUCGAUGAAUAAGGAUCGGCUAACUCCGUGCCAGCAGCCGCGGUAAUACGGAGGAUCCGAGCGUUAUCCGGAUUUAUUGGGUUUAAAGGGAGCGUAGACGGGUAGUUCAGUCAGUUGUGAAAUUUUGGGGCUCAACCGUAGAAGAGCCAUUGAUACUGGCAGUCUUGAGUGCGUGUGAGGUAGGCGGAAUGCGUGGUGUAGCGGUGAAAUGCAUAGAUAUCACGAAGAACUCCGAUUGCGAAGGCAGCUUACU